This 253-nucleotide ribosomal RNA is filed under the name uncultured bacterium. Its description in RNAcentral is "partial 16S ribosomal RNA". It matches the Rfam family "Bacterial small subunit ribosomal RNA", at positions 524 to 776 of the family's 1533-position model. The record is from RNAcentral.
UACGUAGGGUGCAAGCGUUGUCCGGAAUUAUUGGGCGUAAAGAGCUCGUAGGCGGUUUGUCGCGUCUGCUGUGAAAACUCGGGGCUUAACCCCGGGCCUGCAGUGGGUACGGGCAGACUAGAGUGCGGUAGGGGAGACUGGAAUUCCUGGUGUGGCGGUGAAAUGCGCAGAUAUCAGGAGGAACACCGGUGGCGAAGGCGGGUCUCUGGGCCGUAACUGACGCUGAGGAGCGAAAGCAUGGGGAGCGAACAGG